GAUGAACGCUGGCGGCGUGCCUAAUACAUGCAAGUCGAGCGAACAGACGAGGAGCUUGCUCCUCUGACGUUAGCGGCGGACGGGUGAGUAACACGUGGAUAACCUACCUAUAAGACUGGGAUAACUUCGGGAAACCGGAGCUAAUACCGGAUAACAUGUUGAACCACAUGGUUCAACAGUGAAAGACGGUCUUGCUGUCACUUAUAGAUGGAUCCGCGCCGCAUUAGCUAGUUGGUAAGGUAACGGCUUACCAAGGCAACGAUGCGUAGCCGACCUGAGAGGGUGAUCGGCCACACUGGAACUGAGACACGGUCCAGACUCCUACGGGAGGCGGCAGUAGGGAAUCUUCCGCAAUGGGCGAAAGCCUGACGGAGCAACGCCGCGUGAGUGAAGAAGGUCUUCGGAUCGUAAAACUCUGUUAUUAGGGAAGAACAAAUGUGUAAGUAACUAUGCACGUCUUGACGGUACCUAAUCAGAAAGCCACGGCUAACUACGUG
RNAcentral lists this ribosomal RNA (497 nucleotides) under uncultured bacterium. RNAcentral's name for it is "partial 16S ribosomal RNA". It matches the Rfam family "Bacterial small subunit ribosomal RNA", at positions 28 to 507 of the family's 1533-position model. The record is from RNAcentral.